UGGGGAAUAUUGGACAAUGGGGGCAACCCUGAUCCAGCAAUGCCGCGUGUGUGAAGAAGGUCUUCGGAUUGUAAAGCACUUUCGACGGGGACGAUGAUGACGGUACCCGUAGAAGAAGCCCCGGCUAACUUCGUGCCAGCAGCCGCGGUAAUACGAAGGGGGCUAGCGUUGCUCGGAAUGACUGGGCGUAAAGGGCGUGUAGGCGGUUUACACAGUCAGAUGUGAAAUCCCCGGGCUUAACCUGGGAGCUGCAUUUGAUACGGUGUAGACUAGAGUGUGAGAGAGGGUUGUGG
This 293-nucleotide ribosomal RNA is filed under the name uncultured bacterium. RNAcentral's name for it is "partial 16S ribosomal RNA". It matches the Rfam family "Bacterial small subunit ribosomal RNA", at positions 355 to 664 of the family's 1533-position model. The record is from RNAcentral.